ACAGCAGCCGCCACGGUAAUACGGAGGGUGCAAGCGUUAAUCGGAAUUACUGGGCGUAAAGCGCACGCAGGCGGUCUGACAAGUCAGAUGUGAAAUCCCCGGGCUUAACCUGGGAACUGCAUUUGAAACUGUCAGGCUGGAGUCUUGUAGAGGGGGGUGGAAUUCCAGGUGUAGCGGUGAAAUGCGUAGAGAUCUGGAGGAAUACCGGUGGCGAAGGCGGCCCCCUGGACAAAGACUGACGCUCAGGUGCGAAAGCGUGGGGAGCAAACAGGAUUAGAGACCCCGGUAGUCCCUGUCUCUUAUAC
RNAcentral lists this ribosomal RNA (305 nucleotides) under uncultured bacterium. RNAcentral describes it as "partial 16S ribosomal RNA". It matches the Rfam family "Bacterial small subunit ribosomal RNA", at positions 508 to 807 of the family's 1533-position model. The record is from RNAcentral.